Caenorhabditis elegans is the source of this 175-nucleotide small nucleolar RNA. The record is from Ensembl. NCBI's taxonomy places the organism in Eukaryota, Metazoa, Nematoda, Chromadorea, Rhabditida, Rhabditidae.
CAAUAAUAGUUAUUUUUCAUACAUUUCUCUGGGACGGUACGGGAACAAUUUUUUACAUGUACUUCAGGUAUUUUUGAGAAGCUAACAAUUUUCCAUAUCUAAUUGGAAAUCAAUCAUCAUCAAUUGUGACCUCCUGCAAUCCAGUUUUUGUUCAAUUAGAGAUGCUUCAUGAAUU